GUUAAACGCUGGCGGCAUGCCUUACACAUGCAAGUCGAACGGUAGCGCGGGGCAACCUGGCGACGAGUGGCGAACGGGUGAGUAAAGCAUCGGAACGUGCCCUGGAAUGGGGGAUAACGUAGCGAAAGUUACGCUAAUACCGCAUAUUCUGUGAGCAGGAAAGCAGGGGAUCGCAAGACCUUGCGUUCUGGGAGCGGCCGAUGUCGGAUUAGCUAGUUGGUGGGGUAAAAGCCUACCAAGGCGACGAUCCGUAGCGGGUCUGAGAGGAUGAUCCGCCACACUGGGACUGAGACACGGCCCAGACUCCUACGGGAGGCAGCAGUGGGGAAUUUUGGACAAUGGGCGGAAGCCUGAUCCAGCCAUGCCGCGUGAGUGAAGAAGGCCU
This 385-nucleotide ribosomal RNA is filed under the name uncultured bacterium. RNAcentral describes it as "bacterial SSU rRNA". It matches the Rfam family "Bacterial small subunit ribosomal RNA", at positions 28 to 417 of the family's 1533-position model. The record is from RNAcentral.